Molecule: long non-coding RNA, 2273 nt
Organism: Anguilla rostrata (American eel)
Lineage: Eukaryota; Metazoa; Chordata; Actinopteri; Anguilliformes; Anguillidae
Exons: 2
Source: RefSeq, a predicted model, not a curated record
CAUUCCCUUGGAACUGCUUGGCACACAAACACCCUGUUUCCAUGCAAAUGCUCUUAAUAUAAGCCAAUGCAAUUAAAGGCAUUGAACAUGGAGGAUACAAGACACACCGGGAAGCAACAAUGUCUAUAUUUUAGCACUGGAGGCUUUUCUUUUUGAAGAUUGUUUUGCGGUUGAACUUCAAAGAAAACCUCAAACGAAGAGAGGGGAUUACACCGCAUGAAAAGAGGAUUAAAUGUUUUCUCGUCAUUAGACGUGGACAAUAUUUAUUUUUUUCGCGCGAUAUUCCAAGACACUGUUCUAUUUUCAUGCGUAUGAAGAGGCAAGGACACAGAGUGUGAGGGCAGAGAUUGCACAAUGUAGUGAUUCAGUACUCAUUCACCUGGUGAUUCUUUGCUCUUCCUGCUCGACCUUGAGUGGGGAUAAUGGCCACGCUUCCCCAAAGAAAGGAAUGAUAGCCGUUAUCUCCAAAUGGAGAACACAGUGAUGAAAUAUCCUGGGAGUGGCCGGCUAAAAUUUCUCCAACAACUCAUCCAGGAAGUGACAAAAGAUUCCAGAAGAGCAUCCAAAGAACUGCAGACCUCUGUAGCCUCAACAAAAGUCAGUGUUCAUGACUUCACAAUAAGAAAGAGACUGAGCAAAAAUGGAAUUCAUGGGUGAGUAGCAAGGCAGAAACAUCUGCUAACCAAGAGUGCUCGUCUCACAUUUACAAAACAGCACCUGGAUAAUGGCCAAGACUUUUGGGAUAAUGUCUUAUGGACAGAUUAGUCAAAAGUGGAACUUUUUAGAUGACAUGGUUCCCAUCAUUUAUGGCGUAAAGCAAAUGCAGCAUUUCACAGUAAGAACGUCAUACAAACAUGGUGUAUGAUGGUGGUGGUAGUGUGAUGGUUUGGGGAUGCUUUGCAGCUUCGGGACCUGGACAACUUGCAGAAUUGACCAUUAUUGAAGUAAUCAGGAAUUUUGCUCUGGACCAGAAAAUUCAGUCAUCAUGCUGAAGCAUAAUCGGGUUAUGCAGCAGCAUAAUGAUCCAAAACACAAAAAAUGUCUGAAUGGGUGAAAAGAAACACAAAUUAAGUUUUGGAGUGAAUUUGUCGAAGUCCUGACUUGAACCCAAUAGAGAUGUUGUCGCAUGACUUAUAAGGAACAGUUCAUGCUUGAAAACCAAAUAAUGUGUCUGAAUUAAAGCAGUUCUGCAAGAAAGAGUGGGCUAAAAUACCUUCACGGAAAUGUGAAAGGCUGAUAGAAAAUUAAAGUGUUUGCAGUUAUUGCUGCUUCAGGGGGAAAUUAUUUUUUCAUGUAGGUGAUAAGGGCUAUUAACCUUGUUGACUAAAUUAAUUAAAUAAUAAUUUAAAAUAUGUGUUGUGCUAACUCGGUUUACGAUUGUCUAGUAUUACAUUUCGUCAUAAGAACUGUAACCAUUCAGUGCGACAAAUAUGCAAUAAUACAGGAAACCAGUAAGGGGGCACAUAUUUUUUUCAUGGCACUGUAACUUUUUUUUUCUGAAAAUUAAAAAUGAACUCUGGAAUAAAUAGGUCUUGUGCAUUAUGCAUUCAAUUACAAAUGUGGUGAACACACAUUUAAUUAUUUAUAUAUGUAUUCGCAUUCUUGUUUUAUAUUCAGACUGAAUUCAUCUUGGCUUAUUUAAGCUAAUGCCACCUUUAAGUCAGGGCCAAUGACUUCAAAUGUGCUUCUUAUUUUGUAAUCACUAAUAAUUUUCUUCCUUGUCAACAUUUUACAUCUACAUAAAUCUCAGAUACAUUUGUUAAUUUAAAAUUCAUUAAUAUGGGAGGCCUCCGUGUAAUGUGACUUUUACAAAGGGGUCAUUUCUGGAAUUUACAAUAUACAAUUAUCCAUCAGCAACAUUCUUCUCACAAAGUACUUUUGGAAGGGUAUUUAUAGAGUGUAUGCAACCAAAAUGGCCUAACAAGACAUGAUUUUUGUUUUCCUUCAUAUUAUUUGGAUUUUUCUGUAAAAAAAAAAAGCACUGCAUGGGAAUUAAUUUGUUUUGUAUAGUUCAUGAAUUAAAACUUGAUUCAGUGACUGAGAGUUGUUUUUUUUUUCUGAAUAGCUUUGCAGGGAAAAUACAGUCUGGUCUCAGCGUGAAUUUGUUGGGACCUGUGCUCCUGAAUAGAUUGGCAACUGUACUGAAUACUCUCCAUUUGUGAAUCACUUGUUCUUUACCUGUUAUGUUAUCACCUGUCUAUAUAUAUAUAUAGCAAAAGUCUGAUGAAGGGUUGCAAGAGGGGUUAUCAAUUGAGUAAACAUGUUUAAUCUGU